This 466-nucleotide ribosomal RNA is filed under the name uncultured bacterium. RNAcentral's name for it is "partial 16S ribosomal RNA". It matches the Rfam family "Bacterial small subunit ribosomal RNA", at positions 28 to 507 of the family's 1533-position model. The record is from RNAcentral.
GACGAACGCUGGCGGCGUGCUUAACACAUGCAAGUCGAACGGUACGGCUCCAUCUUGCUGGGGUACACUAGUGGCGAACGGGUGAGUAACACGUGGGUUACCUGCCCUGCACUGCGGGAUAUGCCUGUGAAACUGGGUCUAAUACCGGAUAGGACCUUUGUGUGUAUACUGUGGUGGAAAGUUUUUUCGUUGUUGGUUGGGCUCGCGGCGUAUCAGCUUGUGGGUGGGGUAAUGGCAUACCAAGGCAGCGACGGGUAUCCGGCCUGAGAGGGUGGACGGCCACAUUGGGCUUGAGACACGGCACAGCCUACUCCGGGACGCAGCAGUGGGGAAUAUUGCACAAUGGGCGGAAGCAUGAUCCAGCGACGCAGCGUGGGGGAUGACGGGCUUCGGGUUGUAAACUACUUUCACCAUAGACGAAGGGUUUCUGACGGUAGAUGGAGAAGAAGCACCGGCUAACUACGUG